UUAUCCGGAUUUACUGGGUGUAAAGGGAGCGUAGACGGCUGUGUAAGUCUGAAGUGAAAGCCCGGGGCUCAACCCCGGGACUGCUUUGGAAACUAUGCAGCUAGAGUGUCGGAGAGGUAAGUGGAAUUCCCAGUGUAGCGGUGAAAUGCGUAGAUAUUGGGAGGAACACCAGUGGCGAAGGCGGCUUACUGGACGAUGACUGACGUUGAGGCUCGAAAGCGCGGGGAGCAAACAGGAUUAGAUACCCUGGUAGUCCACGCCGUAAACGAUGACUACUAGGUGUCGGGGAGCAAAGCUCUUCGGUGCCGCAGCAAACGCAAUAAGUAGUCCACCUGGGGAGUACGUUCGCAAGAAUGAAACUCAAAGGAAUUGACGGGGACCCGCACAAGCGGUGGAGCAUGUGGUUUAA
This 409-nucleotide ribosomal RNA is filed under the name uncultured bacterium. RNAcentral describes it as "bacterial SSU rRNA". It matches the Rfam family "Bacterial small subunit ribosomal RNA", at positions 541 to 949 of the family's 1533-position model. The record is from RNAcentral.